RNAcentral lists this ribosomal RNA (443 nucleotides) under uncultured bacterium. Its description in RNAcentral is "partial 16S ribosomal RNA". It matches the Rfam family "Bacterial small subunit ribosomal RNA", at positions 338 to 795 of the family's 1533-position model. The record is from RNAcentral.
CCUACGGGUGGCAGCAGUGGGGAAUAUUGGACAAUGGGGGGAACCCUGAUCCAGCGACGCCGCGUGAGUGAAGAAGUAUUUCGGUAUGUAAAGCUCUAUCAGCAGGGAAGAAAGAAAUGACGGUACCUGACUAAGAAGCCCCGGCUAACUCCGUGCCAGCAGCCGCGGUAAUACGUAGGGGGCAAGCGUUAUCCGGAUUUACUGGGUGUAAAGGGGGCGUAGACGGCGAUGCAAGUCUGAAGUGAAAGGCGGGGGCCCAACCUCCGGACUGCUUUGGAAACUGUAUGGCUGGAGUGCAGGAGAGGUAAGUGGAAUUCCUAGUGUAGCAGUGAAAUGCGUAGAGAUUAGGAGGAACACCAGUGGCGAAGGCGGCUUACUGGACCGUAACUGACGUUGAGGCUCGAAAGCGUGGGGAGCAAACAGGAUUAGAUACCCGUGUAGUC